Molecule: non-coding RNA, 116 nt
Filed under: Deltaproteobacteria bacterium
Lineage: Bacteria; Pseudomonadati; Myxococcota; Myxococcia
Description: SAM-I sequence
Rfam family: SAM riboswitch aptamer (S box leader)
About the family: The SAM riboswitch is found upstream of a number of genes which code for proteins involved in methionine or cysteine biosynthesis in Gram-positive bacteria. The SAM riboswitch acts at the level of transcription termination control.
Source: RNAcentral
CUCUUAUCACGAGUGGCUGAGGGACUGGCCCUAUGAAGCCACAGCAACCGGUAGCGCCUCUGGCGCGACGACAGGUGCUAAUUCCAGCAAGGCCUUUGGGCUUUGGAAGAUAAGAA